GUGUGACCCUGGACUUCAGAUCUAACCUCCGGAUGACAUGGGAGGAGUCGACGAGAGAAAAAGUGAGGCAAGGACGCAUGGAGAGUACGGCCAUAUAAACAAGCACAGCAGGCACCUUAUCACGUGCCCAGAACUGCGGGCGUGAUUAUUUAUAACAACUCCAAACUACUGUGAUCUCUGACUACAGAGUUCUCUUUCACGUAACUUGCACCUGUGACUUCUACCAGAUUUGACAAUUUGCUUGACUAUUCUGGUAAAAAUUUGGAUUCUUCCUUUGUCUUUUCACUUAUUUCCUGUUACUGAUCCAUCUCCAGCUCCUGGCCCUCGUCUUUAUCGUCUCUAUUGAAUACAUGUUCAUUCGUCCAUCUUCAUUUAAUUUUCAUUAUUGGUUUAUAGGUUGACUCCACUUCUGACCCUCAUUUGUACCUGCUAAUACCAUUCUGUCCAAGGUUCUAAGGUUGGGAUUCACUCUUGGCCAUAACUCUCCGGGCUACAUGUUCAAAUCCAUACCACUAUGGCAGCUUGACAUCUGCUUUAAAGAGGAAACUAGGAGAGGAUGAUUAUUUAGCUCAAAGGGAUAUGCCUGUUCCUUGGGUCCUUAAGAUCCAUUCCAAUUCUGAGGUCUUAUAUUAGAAUAGUGAAGAACAGGUAACAUGUGUAGCCUCAGUACAUCACCCAGUGAACAUUCAUUCUAAAAAUAAUGUAAGAGCUUACAGUUUUAGAACAUUUACAUAUUUUUUAAAAAAUGUGGAUCCACAUGACUUGCAGUUCUAUGUCAUGGAUGAGAAUGAGUCUCAGAGACCUUAGCUGAUUUACUCAAAGUCAACUGUAGUAGG
RNAcentral lists this long non-coding RNA (836 nucleotides) under Callithrix jacchus (white-tufted-ear marmoset). RNAcentral's name for it is "lncRNA (ENSCJAG00000072453.1)". The record is from RNAcentral. Lineage: Eukaryota; Metazoa; Chordata; Mammalia; Primates; Cebidae.